RNAcentral lists this long non-coding RNA (7685 nucleotides) under Malus domestica (apple). Its description in RNAcentral is "long non-coding RNA (MDOM_LNC003494)". Lineage: Eukaryota; Viridiplantae; Streptophyta; Magnoliopsida; Rosales; Rosaceae. The record is from RNAcentral.
AAUAAAAAGACUGAAAACUAAUAAACUAAGUAUGAUUAAACCGGAAGUCGGAAAGAAAAAGUUGAAAGGUAACCGUGCUCAUCUAAAUUAUUGAACUGUACUAGUGGUAUAAAAACAAGAGCUGACACUAAUAGCUUGAAACUUGAUUCACACAAGGCGUGUAUACUCCGGGUAAAGUCCUCUUCCUCCUGCUCCGCUUCUAGAUGAUGAUGAUGAUGGUGAGCAAGCAAAUCAAGAGAAAAUGGAGAACCGAGGCCCAUGCAUUCAAUUUUUAAUAAUUAUUUUGUCCAUGCAUUCAAUUUUUUUAUAAUUUUUUAUUGUGUUGUGCGCCAGAAACCAUGUAGCCUGAUUUAAGUCAUAUUUUUUAAAUAAAUUUUUGUUAGUUUUUUAAUUAAUUAUUUUAUCUUUCUUUGUGCCACAACUCGACGGUCAUAGACACACAACAUGGGCAAUACAGGUAUUUUACUGUGUGAAGCAGGCAGCAAAACGGUAAUGGAACGAAAAAAUCAGGGGCAUUUUCGCCCUUUUACUAUUUCAUAUUAAGAUACAUGAAUGAUUUAAUAAUAUAUAUUUAUAUGGGAUGUAUUUAACAAUAUGUAGGUACUAAUAAAAAAACCUUUACCAUUACCAUCGUCAAUCUUCAAACAUAGUUCUGUGGUCCAAUUAGAGUUCCAUGUUUACUAUUCUACAAAUCAGGACAUGGAGUUAGCGUGGUCAUAUUGAAGACUAAUAAUAUUCAAAAAUUCCAAUCGUCAACUCCACGCUUGUCGGGAAGACUAAUAAUGUUCUCUAGAGAUGACUUGAGGGUUAUGCUCAAGAGAAUGAAUAUGAUGCUGGCUUUGAUGGAAAUUAAAAUUAAAACUAUCAAACUCUUGUUCCAAGGCUCUAAUUAAUUUUUCAUGAUCUAACCUCAUGCUUGGCUGCUUUAUCUGGAUAUUCCAAAAAUUAUCUAAGAGAACCUGUUGCCUAUCAGAAAACCCUGGUGCUCUUAACCUAUAUCUCAGGAUUGGAUUUCUAAUUCCUUCAACAAUAUUGCCAUUAAAGUUGAAAGUAGGUACUGGUGGUGAUCCUGGUCUGCUUAUGCUACUUUGAAAUCCACUGAAUGGUGGAGGUUGAUGGUGCAUCAUUAUGCUAUUGAAAGAAGCUCUUCUGCCUUGCGGCCUUGUGUUAUUUGCUGAUGAUGAUUCACGAUAUUUCAUACAUGUUCAACAAAUUAAUCCACUGAAUGAUGGAGGUUGAUGGUGCAUCAUUAUGCUUGUGAUAUUUAUUUCUAGGAAACAAAUAGAAAACGAAGAGCGGAAAGGAUGACGAUGACGCAGAACCUACCUCUUCCUUCUUCAAUCUGUGUGUGGUUUCCUUUCACUAAAUCUCACACCCACCGACAACAACCCAUCUCAAUCUGAUCCAAACACCAAUGCCAACCAACCACUGCCAUACUUUAAAAAUGAAUAAAAUACCCACCCCUUGGAUUUGAUUGGAAAAUAGGCAAUAGAGUAAUUUGCCCGUGUUAAACCCAAGCCCAGCUUACACCCCACAACCCACUUCGGCAAAAUAUGACAAUACAAAAAUCCAAAUGACACAGGAUUUAUACUGGUUCGGCGUAAGCCUACGUCCAGUUCCGAGACGGCGAGAAAAUUCCACUAAUAUCAAAAGGAGAUUACAAAUUGAUGUUUUAACUCUCAAACCCAAAGCCCACAUACACCCAAUAGCUCUCACUCUCACAAAGAAACAAAUGGAGAAGAUAGAAACAUAUACCAAAUUCCUCCUCUCCCAAAAGCCACAAAAUGUAGCACAAAUAUCUUUGAUUGAGUGAUCACUAACAAAGGGGGAUUACAAACAAAUGGGAAGGAGCAGCACUGUUUCAAAUGGGAGAGUCGAAUGCUCUCUCCUCUGCUCUACUUGCUCUCUUCAGAAAAUGAGUUCACACCUUUCCUUUAAAUAAAAAUCAGCCCCUUUUCUUCUCCUCCUUUCUUCCAGCCGAAAACCAACUAAUUAUGGCUUUGAAAAAACCACAAAACACGGAACAAAACAAGCCACAAAACAAGGAACAAAACAAGCCACAAAACAAGGAAACAUAAUCCUCAUCAUGAUGUUCCCUCAUCAAUUUUCUUUCAUUCUUUUGUUUUGUUUCCUAGCCUAAUUUGGCCACUAUCCAACAUAUGGAACUACACGUCGAAGUAGAUUUGAUCUUCCAGGCAUUCUUAAACUUUUCCGCUAUGUCGAAUAUAGGUUUGUGCCUUUCCUCUCUAAAUCUGCAACAGCCAGAACUGCUUUCACAUUCACACUACAGCACAAUAGAAGACACUUCGACACGACAAUCUGUUAAAUUAGCAAAUGGGGAAGUGGUGGAAUAACACCGUAGUAUUGUGAGCAAGUCUCGGGUGUCAAGGCCACGGGGGACGUCCCUGUGGCUUUUCAACAAAUUAACCAAACAAUGUUGUAAAAACUGACUUUGAGAGUGAGGAACAGUAAAAGGUAGGUGCUUUGGCCCUCCUCCACGCAUCAUAUACCGACGAAAAGAGUACAUGUUGUCUAUAGAUUUCCUCAGGAUUGACAAAAAUACAGAAGAAAACCACCAGCUAGACAAAAUUGACACAAGUCCUCGGCCUGCUCCGCUUCAAGAUCAUGACGAUGAUAAUGAUGAUGGUGAUGAGCAGUUGUCAUCAGGUGCAGCAGGUUGUUGUGCAUGAUCUUGGUUAGGGUACUCACUACGCAUCAUCUCUCCUCCAAUAUGAUCAAAGAUAUUCGCAAUCAAGUCCUCAUAAUCAUCUCAUUCAACUGUUGUUCUUUGCCCCGUCUCGAUCUCAUCUGCAACAGAGGCCGCAGCAGCAGCAGCAGGAUCAGACAGGAGAUCAAACUCUCCCAUCAAGGCUUCCAAAUUGAAUCUCAAAAGAUCAUCAUCAUCUUUUCUCUCACUGCCUCUCUAUCUGACCCUGCAGUGCAGCAGGGCAGACGCCUAACAAACUGCAAAACCACAAUCAACACUUUGAAGAACUCUUCAAAAUGAGAUAAUUUUAAUACAGUCCACCACUUCAAACCAAAAAGUGCAUACAUAGACAAGAUGAAACAACAAAUAUGCCACAAAUUGAAGCAUGAAAAGGCAAGCAUACCUUGCCUGCAGAUGAUAUACUAUCGAAGGGAGGAACAGCCCUCCUUGCAAUAUAUACUUCUUGACUUUACAUAAAUUUGAAGGUCAAUAUUGUAGAAUAACAAACAAGAGUAUAAAGCAUAGAAGGAAGCGUUGUUCAAUUCGACAAGGUAAGACUUUUCUGAAAUCUAAAAUCACGACCAUCAUCGUGCACUAUCUUAAUACCUGACGUGGAAAACAGGAAAUUGAUGACCCUUUGCAAAUUUUGAAUAAUUUGAUAAUUUAUAUUACUUAUUCAUCUUAGUGUGUCUCUAUGCAUGUCAAACGAUAACAAACAUCAGAAAUGCAGUUGAAGGCAUUUCUUUCAAAUGAUCAAAAUGACAGUCAAAUAUGGGCUGUGAGGAUUGUCAUGCUCUCACAAAUGCGACAUACAUAAUAUCAGAAACAUCAACAGCUACUGAAACUGAAAACCUAAGAGACAGUAGCUUCAAAAACUAGUCCUACAUGAUGAAGAAAUCCACACCAAAAGAAAGUACACAGGAAACAGCAUGUGAGCUCUGCAUCCUACCUCGUACUUAAAGAGAUGCAAUUUGUAAAGAAAGAAUAAAGUGCUUCAAUUUUUUAGAAUCACGACCAUCCCGUUGAGCAGAGAAAUUAAAGAACUAAUAGGGAAUCGACGUGAAAACGAAGUACUGGUUGUCGACUACCUGACGCCCUCCCCCUCCUCCUUUAUCCGGGCUUGGGACCGGUAGCGUAAGAUAAACUUACACGGGCGGAGUUAGAAAAUCAAAGAACUGUAAAAAGAAAAUCAGUUAUGGACAAGAUGUCAAGACCAAUAGAACUGUAAAAGCAAAACAGUCCAAAAACACAACUGAGGACAACAGCGAGAAACUUGCAUUGCUGGUCCAAAACAGAACUGACACAUCUAAUAUAGACUAAGGUAUGAAUACUAAAAAAUAAAGAGAGAAAACUUACAUUCCACAAAAAAUCCAUAAAAACAGUGGCAAGAAACAUGAUAAUUGUCCUUAUCAUCAACAAAACUAUCAACACGUUCACAAACUGACACUGAACACUUACACACCAUGUUACCAUCAAAAUUCAAGCACAAUACACAGAACCUGCACACGCUCACAAGCCACACAUGCAGAGGGAGUAAUUCAAAGGAAAAGAAAACAUUAAUUUGGUUUUCAAAUUUAGUAUAGUAAUUAAAAUCAUCAACCUUGAAACCUUCUGUCAAUUAAAAUAAAAAGAAAGUAAGAAACUUGGGUCGAAAAGAAAUGAAUUAUAAAGCAUUCAGUGCAUUAAAAUUGGAAACGAUCCUAGAAGCACAUGCAUACAGAUGACUAGGGGAAACGCAGUAGAGACCUGAGGUGCAGCAAAAUGAAAGGCAGGCAAUGGAUCAGACCUAUACCAAAUUUCUUAAUUAACUAAUGAACCAAAAGAAAUCAAAGCAUAUAUACUAAGAAUGGAAAUAAAAUAUAUCCUGAUCAUAACUGUGCUUCUAUAUGCACGCCAUGGAAAUUAGACAGCUGCCAUCACGUAUACAUCCCUCUAUUGAUCAUUCACAGAAUCGCUCAUCCACAAACAGUCUGUCCAGUAAUUGAACCCGUCUAACGGUUGGCUGAAUUCGUCAAUUUGAGGCCACUCCCGGGGCAAUUUACCUUCAAGCGUUGUCAACCAUUCUUUAAUGUCUCCACGCACUGCUUCACCAUCUAAAGGAUAUUCCUCGCCGCCCAAGAAUACCGGAGAAGAAGGAACAUCACUCAUCAGUGGCACAUAUUCAUGACCUGAAAUAUGAGUGGGAAUGGGCAUCACAUUUCCGUUAAUGUAGCUUAUGCACCCCUGGUCGUGAUUGGUAGUGUCGCCGUCCAAGCAUAUGGGAUAAGAAGGAACAUCACUCAUCAAUAUCACACUAUCCUGAUCAGAGAAAUCAGUCGGCUUUGCAUUGCCGUUAAUGUUGGUUAUGCACUCCUGAUCCCAAUACCUAGUGUCAGUAAUCAUAUUGCUUUCAGUUCCAACAAAAGGCACAACAGCAGGGGUAUUGGUGAUCACAUUCACAUUAGAAUGUUUUUGUGAACCCGGUUCUUUUCUUGCUCUCUUUCUCUUAAUCAGCAGCUUCUCAUUCGAUACUUCUUUUAUUGCCCUCUUAAUCGGUGGCUUCUCAUUGAAGUCAUGAGUUGGACUUGAGGAAUUCAUCUUGUUUCCGCACCUAGACCUCGGAUUCCUUUUAAGUCGCGAAAGAACGACCUUUGGGGCCAGCAACCACACAUUAGGAAGAAGACUGUACUCUUCUAACAGCCAGCCGCCAUUGUUGUUAGAACCCUUGUUGUUAUACCUGAAAUGCCUUUUAUCCCCGAUUGGAAUUCCGUCCAAACCUAAAACUUUGUCGGAGGAUGUUUCGCUCCAAGUGCCUCCGGCUUCGAUCUGGCGUUUGCUGCGGCUAUCGCUGUCGCUUCUAGAACGCAGCUCAUAGAAGAAGAACAAGUCCUGAUCGAGUAGGGAAUUUCCACCGAAUUGCUCCCAAACCACCCAGGGUGGUGUUUGUCCAAAGAGAUUGAACUCGUGAACAAACGGGUUGCCUAAGGGCUUUCCGGAGAGGGCUCUAUCGCGAAGAUAGGAACUGACCAAUUCUUGAUCAGUAGGAUGAAACCGAAAACCCAAUGGCAUACCGUAAUAACCCACCUCCAUUGUUAAACGCGAUUUCAAUUCAAUGCAAUUCAAAACAAAACAAAUGCAGCAGCAAAAACCCUAAAUUUUUCUUGGGCACAAAAUAAAGAAGAGAAAAUAAGCGAGAAAUUAAAGAUAAGAAAAAGGGAAACCUGGAAGCCAAUUUCGCUCGCUCGCCGAGGAGAGCAGCUCGUCGACGUCUCCUCAAUCGCCGUCUUCGUCCCCAAACAAGAGCAACUGAAGAGGAAUCGAUUUCGAGUAUUCUGUAAUUCAAUUCAACCGGAGACUGUUGGAGCACUGAAUUCUAGUUCUGGUUCAAAUUCGAACGCGCAGAGAGAGCGAGAGAGAGAACGCAGAGAGAGCGAGAGAGAAAGAUCUUGAGAGAGAGAUCUAGAGAGAGAGAGGAUUUGAAAUUUAAACGGAAGAAAAUAUGACCGUUUGGUUUGGGAAUUGGAUGUUAACGUCGCAAACUUGCAAGGCUCACCGCUUAAGCGCGGGAUUACGUGGCAUUUUCAUAUCUACGAAACCCUAAAUCCCCAAAUUGUGGAAUCUGGAUUCUCGCCAGAUUCUUUUUAUGAGGAUCCAGAAAAUUCAUGAAUCAUAUCGAUUUAUUGUACAUCGUGUGGUCAAAAAUUAUUUUAAAUAUUUUUAUUUAAAAUUAAACAAACAGUACUUGACAAAAACUGACUGUAUAAUAUAAGAUAAACGAACAUAAUUUACGGAUCCUCAGUAUCCUUACCAAAAUGAUCCGGAGAGGAUCCUGUUGGCAAAUUGUGAGCCAAAUGACUAGAAUAACGCAGGAAAAAAAAAAGAAUUUCGAUUGGGCUGGGUUCCCUUUUUUACUUCUUGGCCUAUUUUUUAUUCAGCUGGGUUCUUUUGGUUUUCCGGCAUUCUAUUGGCAAUUUUUUUUUAGAUUUUUAUAUUAGAUUAAUGAACCCAAACAUUUAAGGGUGAAUGUUGGAUUGAAAGUUUCGAUUUCGACAUGAAAAAGAUUUGUUUCGUAUUUUUAUUAACAUAGCAUUGCAUGAUUGACACGAGAAGUCAUAGUCACGAUGUACUAAUGUCAUAAAAAUUGCUCAAUAUGGAUAUAUUUCGCAAUAGGAAAUCGUGACUAUGACUUAAACAUAAGAAAUCAUAGGAAAUCACGAUUUUUUUUAUUUCCUAUGUCUAACCUACAGUCACGAAUUCCUAUGAUUGACACAAGAAGCCAUAAUCACAAUGUUCACAUGGCGCUGCAUAUACAUUUUUCAUAGAAGUGACAAGAUUUUCUCCCAACUCUAAUGCACCUUUAUGUUCUUCCUAUCCAAAACUAUGUUGGAGAAGAUUUCAUAAGAAACACGUCCAGAAUCCGUCAUUACCAGAUUGAUUAUUCAUGAAACGAAAUGUAGAGGUCGAAACAAACAGUGAAAAACUGAGUACUACUGUUCGCUACGACAACAAUGUCUGAAAAUUGAAACAAAAACUCAAAGUGUGCUGAAAGAAAUGACAAGAACAAAAGUAAGUGCAAUCAAAAGUAUUGGGAACUUCAUGUAUAUUCAUAUGUAUAUUGUCUACAGAUUUCCUCAAGAUUGACAAAAGUACAGAGUAAGACCACCAGCUAGACGAAAUAACAAACUGAAAACUAUUCUAUCCACAACAACAACAAAGCAUUUUCCCACUAAGUGGGGUCGGCUAUAUGAAUCCUAGAAUGUCAUUGCGCUCGGUUCUGUAUCACGUCUUCCGUGUAAAUAAAAAGACCGAAAACUAAUAAACUAACUAUGAUUAAACCGGAAGUCGGAAAAAAAAAAGCUGAAAGGUAACCGUGCUCAUCUGAAUUCUUGAACUCUACAAGUAGUAUAAAAACAAGAGCUGACGCUAAUAGCUUGACAACUUGAUUCACGAAAGGCGUGUAUACUCCGUGUAAAGUCCUCUUCCUCCUGCUCCGCUUCUA